UUAUGAUGAUACAUCAGCUGGCACCAGUCAUAGAGCGAACUUGUACUCUUUUCUUUGAUGAAAAUGCUUUGGCUUCGGCCUUCUUCUGAA
Small nucleolar RNA from Pseudogymnoascus pannorum, 90 nucleotides. It matches the Rfam family "A. fumigatus snoRNA Afu_190". Lineage: Eukaryota; Fungi; Ascomycota; Leotiomycetes; Thelebolales; Thelebolaceae. The record is from Rfam.